GCAUCUUUAGUAUGGAGGGACUUUGGAAGCAAUAUUUGAUCCCAGUCCUGUGGGUGAGGCUUAAAGAUGAGGAAGAAGGGCUUCAGGGAACAGGAAGAACUAUGAGAUGAGCUUAGCUCCCUGAGCCUUGCAACUUUUGGAUGGGUUAGGACAAAAUUUACUUAGCUGGGUGUUGUCAGAAUAUUCAUUUAAUUAAUUCUUAAAACCUAAUGAGGUACAUGGGUAACCCUGUUUGAAAGAGGCAAGUCUUGAACAGCUGGAGUGAGGUGUUCAAGGCUGUAAAACCAGUAAAUGAGAAGCUGCAUGUCUGGCUGGUUUACUCCUUCAGAAUUCAGAAAAUUCAAGCAAGCCAUGUGUAUGUACCACCUUUUUUCUUAGUGUUUAUCACUUGAAUAAAUGUUUAAUCUUUUUACUUAAGCUUUCCCCAAGCAGUAAUCAAAGUUGUGGUCGAAAUCACACUCUUAGGCAAAGUCCCUUGUUUUCAAGAGACCAGUAUCGUAAGUAGCAUUGAUGUCCCUGUGGGAUGCUGGGCUCUGGGGGCACAGACACCCCCUUCACUUCCCUUGUUCUUCAGGACACUGCGUAUAUUUGCCUCCCCAGCUCUGCUGGGUAUGCAGCUCUCUGUGCUCUGCUGGGUAUGCAAACUGACUCAGCCCCACAUCCUAAUGGGCUCACAAAUAUGGGAAACAGGUGUGGAAAUUUUACCCAAUUCUUACCUAGUGUUAGAUGUAAAUUUCUAAUCCCUGUGCUUUUGUGUUCAGGUCUUAAAAGUGGCUAACUGUCAUAAACCAAGAAAUAAAUUUACUGUAAUAAGGCAAACAUCUCUAAGUGUGAUGAACAAGUAAAACAAGGGAACAGCAAGAUCCUUUGCAAACCCCAGCUGGAAGAAAAAAAAAGGAAAAUGCUCAAACAGCACUAGCUGUCCAACUGAAAUAUAAUGUGAGCUGCAAAGGUCUGAUUGUAUUGGCAAGAACUUCUAAAACAACCUUAAAUAAUAGCAUCACUAUAGAUAUGCUUGUUCUUUUAAAAAAAAAUGUUUAUUUUCAUGAGAAUAUUUUUAAAUGUUUCAUUGUUAAAGAAUGUGUAUGUCUGAGAGAUAUACUCUCAAAAGAAACAUCUGGUUAUUGUUAAUUUUCUAAUACAUUUCUUAAACUUUUUAUUUUGAGAUAAUUAUAGAUUGCAAACAGAAGUUUGCAAAGACAGUAAAGAGGUCCCUAUUUACCCUCCACCCAUUUCACCAAUGGUUACAUCUUACAUAACUACAGGACAAUAUCAUAUCAAAAUUAGAAAAUUAGUAUCGGUACAGGGACUUCCCUGGCGGUCUGAUGGUUAAGACUCCCCGCUUCCACUGCAGGGGGCAUGGGUUCGAUCCCUGGUUGGGGAACUAAGAUCCCGCGUGCCCACAUGGCGCGGCCAAAAAAAAAGAAAAUUAGCAUUGGUAUAAUGUAUGUGUACAUCAUUCUAUAGUUUACAGAAUACAGACUAUAUCAUUCUGUAGUCAUUUUACUGAUUUGUGUAACCACCAUUGCAAUCAAGAUACAGAACUAUUUCAUCACUACAAUGAUCUCCUUCAUGCCACUCUUUUAUCCAUCUUUCCCCUUCCCAUCACCAUCCCUCACCCCUUACAACCACUGAUGAGUUCUCCAUCUCUGUAAUUUUUAAAAUUUGAGAAUGUUAUGGAAUCAUAUAAUGUGACCUUUUCAGAUUGGCUUUUUUUCACUCAGCAUAAUUCCUUGAGAUCCACUCAAGUUGUUGUAUAUAUCAACAGUCUGUUCCUUUUUAUUACCAAGUGUAUUCCAUGGUAUAGAUGUACCACAGUUUUUAAAACGAUUCAGCUACUAUAGGACAUUUUGUUUGUUUCCAGUUUGGGGCUGUUACAAAAAGCUGCUAUGAAAAAUCACGUAUAAGUUUUUAUGUGAACAUGUUUAAUUUCUCUGGAAUGUCCAGGAGUGGGAAUGCUGGGACAUAUGGUAAGUGAAUGUUAAGUUUUUUAAGAAACUGCCAAACUAUUUUCCAGAAUGGCUGUACCAUUUCACAUUCCCACUAGCAAUGUGUGAGAGAGACAGUUUCUCUGCACACUCACCAGCA
Molecule: long non-coding RNA, 2088 nt
Organism: Physeter macrocephalus (sperm whale)
Lineage: Eukaryota; Metazoa; Chordata; Mammalia; Artiodactyla; Physeteridae
Exons: 3
Source: RefSeq, a predicted model, not a curated record